RNAcentral lists this ribosomal RNA (497 nucleotides) under uncultured bacterium. RNAcentral's name for it is "partial 16S ribosomal RNA". It matches the Rfam family "Bacterial small subunit ribosomal RNA", at positions 28 to 507 of the family's 1533-position model. The record is from RNAcentral.
GAUGAACGCUGGCGGCGUGCCUAAUACAUGCAAGUCGAGCGAACAGACGAGGAGCUUGCUCCUCUGACGUUAGCGGCGGACGGGUGAGUAACACGUGGAUAACCUACCUAUAAGACUGGGAUAACUUCGGGAAACCGGAGCUAAUACCGGAUAAUAUAUUGAACCGCAUGGUUCAAUAGUGAAAGACGGUUUUGCUGUCACUUAUAGAUGGAUCCGCGCCGCAUUAGCUAGUUGGUAAGGUAACGGCUUAUCAAGGCAACGAUGCGUAGCCGACCUGAGAGGGUGAUCGGCCACACUGGAACUGGGACACGGUCCAGACUCCUACGGGAGGCAGCAGUAGGGAAUCUUCCGCAAUGGGCGAAAGCCUGACGGAGCAACGCCGCGUGAGUGAUGAAGGUCUUCGGAUCGUAAAACUCUGUUAUUAGGGAAGAACAAAUGUGUAAGUAACUAUGCACGUCUUGACGGUACCUAAUCAGAAAGCCACGGCUAACUACGUG